AAGUCGUAACAAGGUUUCCGUAGGUGAACCUGCGGAAGGAUCAUUAACACGUAUCCACGUAUCAACCUUUGUGAACCGGUUUUCAACCUUCUCCCUGCAGAUGGAAGGAAUUGGAGUAAUAAUGGAUUAUGGAUUGACGGCUUUUAUUAUAUUCGUAUAAUGAUCGGCAUUCUUCAUUAUUCUUCGUGCGAGUUUCGGCUCUCUCGACCAAUUGUAUCCACCUGUGAGGCAUAUCAUAAUCUGCUAAUAUAUUCCUUCUGUCUCUGGGAUAUGUUAGUGGGUCUACCAUAAUAACUUUAUUCACCAACCUUUUUGCUAGUUGACUUUUAUCUGUUGUUCGCCUUUAAAAGCGUAUCAGCACGUUACUUAAUUGAACGUUAAAAUUACAACUCUUAGCAAUGGAUAUCUUGGUUCUC
This 416-nucleotide unclassified non-coding RNA is filed under the name fungal sp. Its description in RNAcentral is "partial internal transcribed spacer region". The stretch from base 1 to 46 matches the Rfam family "Eukaryotic small subunit ribosomal RNA", at positions 1786 to 1831 of the family's 1831-position model. Lineage: Eukaryota; Fungi. The record is from RNAcentral.